GACGAACCGUGCGAACGUUGUUCGGAAUCACUGGGCUUAAAGGGCGCGUAGGCGGGCCGGCAAGUCAGGGGUGAAAUCCCACGGCUCAACCGUGGAAGUGCCUUUGAUACUGCCGGUCUGGAGGGAGGUAGGGGCGUGCGGAACUUCCGGUGGAGCGGUGAAAUGCGUAGAUAUCGGAAGGAACACCGGUGGCGAAAGCGGCGCGCUGGACCUCUACUGACGCUGAGGCGCGAAAGCCAGGGGAGCAAACGGG
Molecule: ribosomal RNA, 253 nt
Filed under: uncultured bacterium
Lineage: Bacteria
Description: partial 16S ribosomal RNA
Rfam family: Bacterial small subunit ribosomal RNA
Source: RNAcentral